Marmota monax (woodchuck) is the source of this 1697-nucleotide long non-coding RNA. RefSeq lists it as uncharacterized. The transcript has 6 exons. Lineage: Eukaryota; Metazoa; Chordata; Mammalia; Rodentia; Sciuridae. The record is from RefSeq and is a predicted model, not a curated record.
UUCAAAGUAUACAAUUCAGUGGUUUGUUUAUAUUCAGAGUUGUGCAACCAGCACCAUAUAAUUUCAGAAUAUUUUCAUCACUUGGAAAAGAAACCUCAUACCAUUGGCCAUCUCUCCCCACUCCUCCUGCUUAUUCCCUGGAAACCAUUGAGUUGCUUUCUGUCCUCAUGGAUCUGCUAUUCUGAAAGCUUCAUCGUUCACCUAUGGAGCUUCUUGUGACAGGUUUCUUUCUCUCAGCUUAAUGUUUUUAAGGUGCAUUCCAUGUUAGAGCAUGUUAUCAGGACUUAAUUAUCUUUUUGUUGCUGAGUAAUCUAUUGCAUGCAUAUAUCACAUUUGGCUUAUCCAUCCAUCAAUUGAAGGAUAUUUGCACUCUUUCUACUUCUUAGCUGUUAUGAAUAAUUCUACUAUGAAGAUCUAUGUGCAAGUUUUAGAGUGAAUCUGUCUUCACUUCUCUUUCAAGAUGCCUCUAUGUUUAACAUGUUUUAUUUAAACUAUGGGAAGUGCUAUAUAUUUAUUGAACAAUGAGGUUGGGUUUUUUUGUUGUUGUUGUUUUUGUUUGGGUACCAGGUAAUGAACCUAGGGGCACUUAACCUCUGAGCCACAUCCCCAGCCCUUUUUAUAUUUUUUAUUUUAAAACAGGUCUCACGAAGUUGCUGAGGCUGACUUUGAACUUGGCAAUCAUAUUGUCAGCCUCCUGUCAGUCCGGCAUGAACAAUGAAAAACUGUCAAUUAGCACUUGGAUGUCUCUAGAAAGCUCAAAGCCACGUUGUGAUCCUUGCAGCAACAUAUGAUUCAGAACCUUAUGAUGUCUGUGGUGGAACAAUCUUGAUUCAACUCCAUUGUGUGGUCUGUAAUUACCUGCUUCAGCAGUAUAAGACAGUUUCUCCACACCCUCCCGACCGUUGGUAUGGUUAAGAAACAAGGUCUCACUGAUUUGCUUAGUGCCUCACCAUUGCUGAGGCUGGCUUUGAAAUCACCAUCCUCCUGCCUCAGCCUCCCAAGCCGCUGGGAUUACAAGCAUGCUCCACCAUGCCUGGCAGAUUUCCUCAGGUGUGAAAUGGAAAUAAUCCCUAUCUUAUGCUCGUGUGCAAACUAGAUGAGCAGACCUGAGCAAAACACGUAAACACUUCGGCAAAUGAACUAUUACAAUCCCAUUGAGUCCUCGAAUCAAGUCGGUGAGAUGCAGAAUCAUCAGAUUCAGAGGACUGUGUGUGUGCUAUUCUUCUCCUGUACAUAUAUUCCUAUGAUGAAGUUUAAUGUAUAAAUUAGACACCACAAUAACUAAAUGAAAUAGAAUAAUUUUAACAAUAUACUGUAAUAAAAGUUAUUUAAAUCUUAUAAAUUGUUUACUUCUGGAAUCUUCCAUGUAAUGUUUUCAGAUGAUGGUUGACAGUGGGUAACUGAAAUUGCAGAAAGUGAAGCUGAGGGUUAGGGGAGACUGUUGUAUGUGAUUGAAAGGGACUAUCAAAAACCAUUCUGCAGAGUCUGCCCCUCGAUAGCCCUGCUUCCAUGAAGUUUUCCCUAACCCCAAACUGGAUUUGACCUCUCCAUUGUUGAAUUUCCCAUUAUCAGUGCUGGGUAAGGCAAGCAGAGUAGAGACAAGGAGGAGCAGAUGGGUCCUGCCAGUGGAGGAAUAGACAGGCAAAGAGGUGAUCGGUCAAUGGCAACAUGGUAACACAGAGCUCCCCCAAACUAAC